Rhinolophus ferrumequinum (greater horseshoe bat) is the source of this 104-nucleotide small nucleolar RNA. The record is from Ensembl. NCBI's taxonomy places the organism in Eukaryota, Metazoa, Chordata, Mammalia, Chiroptera, Rhinolophidae.
AUCCUUUUGUAGUUCAUAAGUGUGAUGAUUGAGUAUUCACGCUCCUGUGUGAGAUAUGCCUCCCUCAAACCUUGUUGUGACAUGGGCACAUUACCCAUCUGACA